Oncorhynchus kisutch (coho salmon) is the source of this 1625-nucleotide long non-coding RNA. RefSeq lists it as uncharacterized. The transcript has 2 exons. The record is from RefSeq and is a predicted model, not a curated record. Lineage: Eukaryota; Metazoa; Chordata; Actinopteri; Salmoniformes; Salmonidae.
GUAUCGAUCGAGGAUCUUGACACUACUGGGACGACUGGCGAGGACGCGCUCUCGCAUUGUCCUCUCUGCGCGCUCCCGGGCCACCUUAACUUCCAGUAGUUUCCUUCGCAAUGCCCUGUUUUCUUUCUGGCUUUGAGUUAUUUCCAAACGAAACACUGCAUAGUCGUCGUCUACGAGUUUACAGAUCUCUGCCACGGCGGCAUUCGCUAGCACCUCCAUGAUGGAGGCUAUUUGAGUGUGAAAAACCAUACAGUUAGCCAUUGUUAGCAGCUAGCGUUAUCUAGAUAACAUCAAUCAACCAAACCCCGUCUCCAACGCGAAUUAAAGAUGACCUAGGGAGAAUGCCCUCUCUCCUGUGUGGACCUUCAGGUGCAUCUUCAGCUGGUGCUGGCGGGAGAACCUCUUCUCACACAUCUGGCAGCUGAAGGGUUUCUCCCCUGAGUGGACUCUCUGGUGCCUCUUCAGGUCACCAGCCUGAGCGAAGCGCAUUUGACACUGGGUACAGCUGAAGGGUUUCACCCCUGUGUGGACCCUCUGGUGCCUCUUCAGGUGGCCAGCCUGGGCAAAGCGCAUGUGACACUGGGUACAGCUGAAGGGUUUCACCCCUGUGUGGAUCCUCUGGUGGAUCUCUACCUUCUGGGUGCAGCUGAAGCCUUUGCUACAGAACAUGCAGAGGAACCGUUUCUCUUUACUAUUGCCUAAUGUGGCUCCUCCUCCCUGAGUCUGGGCUCUAGCCCUGUCGUUUGAGUUCAAUACCUGAUCGAAAAGGACACGGCCUUGUAAAUCGCAAGGCGCAAUCGACGUGGACACUGGGUCGCGAUCCCUGAGCACGUGUAAAGGGGAGUGGGUCACAACAUUUAGAUUUGUCUCUAAACUGUAAUCUAAGAAAUCUCUGCCCUGUGAGAGUCCUGCACAAGCUGCAUUCCAUGUGGGAGGAACGUCGCCCUCCACUUUCACAGUCAAUUCAUCUGCAACCAGAUCUUCCCCUUUCUUAUCUAUGCACCCUUCAGAGUAUACACUACUACUGUACCGGUUCCAGUCCUCUCUAGACGGAUCAGUAUGUGUCUCUAAAUCUAAGGAUAUGUUGCCAGGGUCCAUCUCUAUAGCGUAAGAACAAGAUUGAUCAUUGCCAGUUUCUAACGCAUCACCGGAGUUCCGAUGGGAAUUAACCAGGCUUCGGUUACCGUAAAGUAAAUACUCUGAGCCGGGAGCAGGAGGACAGCCCAGUCUGCCCAGUCUCUCUGUGUCUGACCUGUCGUCAGAUCCUGUGUGUAAAAGCCUUUGUGUCACAGUUAAAGUCUCUGACUCUGACCUAAGGAUGGCAUUCCGCGUUCCACUGACCUCCGUGAUGCUGUGUCUGGAGCUGGGCUGCGCUGGGGUGGUGGCGGGGUCCUCCAUUGCUACAGCCGCACCAGUCUGGAUGUCUCUGCUGUGCUGUGGGUCCACUCCUCUCACCCCAGGACCUGCAGCCUUGGCAUCUGCAGACUGACACAUUAAGAGAGGAGGUUAUUACCGGUACAUGAGUUGAAUAGGAUAACAAUGUCAUAGGGAAGUCGCACAAGCUCAAGCUUGGCAGAUUAAUAAGUAUGUACAUGUAAGCAAGUGAAUAAACGGGACACAUUUGA